Molecule: microRNA precursor, 92 nt
Filed under: Podarcis lilfordi (Lilford's wall lizard)
Lineage: Eukaryota; Metazoa; Chordata; Lepidosauria; Squamata; Lacertidae
Source: RNAcentral
UCCAGCUGUUUUGGGACUACAGUUCCCAUCAUCCCUGACCACUGGUCCUGGUAGCUAGGGAUGAUGGGAGUUGUAGUCCCAAAACAGCUGGA